CAAGAGUGUGUAUGAGAGAUGCUGCAGUUAAAAAGUCCGUAGUCAUAGAAGGGCAAAGAGAGAUGCGAGGUCUCACAGUGCGAUGAUGGAGGAGCCGAUGGGGAACAUAGUAUACCAGGGCGAGAGAUGAAAUGCCAAGACCCCUGGUGGACUGAGCGAGGCGAAGGCGAUGUUCUUGUAGGCAUUCGGUGAUCAAGGACGAAGGCUGGAGUAUCGAAAGUGAUUAGAUACCGCAGUAGUUCCAGCAGUAAAAGAUGCCGACAUGCUCAUUGGACACAGUGGGCAGGGAGAAAUCUUAGAGUUCGGGCUCUGGGGAUAGUAUGCUCGCAAGGGUGAAAAUUAAAGAAAUUGACGGAGCUACACCACAAGGAGUGGAUUGUGCGGCUUAAUUUGACUCAACGCGAGGAAACUUACCAGGGCCAAGUAUUGUGUAGAAACGAGCAAUACAGGAGUGGUGCAUGGUCGUUGGAAAUUGAUGGGAUGACUUUGACCUUAAAUGGUUGAAUGAGUGAGAUCUUUUGGACAUGUUCCGCACGGAACAGGAAGGAAAAGGCUAUAACAGAUCCGAGAUGCCCUCAGAUGCCCUGGGCUGCACGCGCAAUACAAUAGCAGGUAGAGAGAGAGACAGGAAGGUGCUCAGAUGGACUAUGUGCUGUAAGGCACAUACGAAAGAGGAAUUCCUAGUAAGUGUGU
Molecule: ribosomal RNA, 693 nt
Filed under: Vittaforma corneae
Lineage: Eukaryota; Fungi; Microsporidia; Nosematidae
Description: SSU rRNA
Rfam family: Microsporidia small subunit ribosomal RNA
Source: RNAcentral